GAGAAAUUGUUGGAUUUCAAGGAAUCAAGCAAGUAAAGGUGCUGAACCCCCCGAUAAGGGCAAAGAUAUCAUGCUUGAGGAUCGAGAAUAUGAGUACUCCUACCACUCCAAAUUCCCAUUAUAAUUUGUGCUAAGUCAUCACCUAAGGAGUCUUAAAUACGCAAGAGAGAAGCUAUAGAGGGUUGAUGGAGGUGUAGAGCUCGAUUUCAAGAUACGAGAGAGAUAAGCAAAGAUCGGCUUGAUUGGAGAAAAUUUGGUGACAUGCAACCUAUCCAAACCGUGGAUGCAUGAUGGAUUCAAAGUGUAAGAAAAAUGGAAGUGUACAAGUGGGGAAGGUUAGCCGUGGUGGCAUACCAGAAGUGGUAAUGGGCGACCAGUAAGAAACAUUUGCUAGAGACUCACCCAAAUCAAUAGUGACGUAGUGUCCCGCUAUUAUGAGAUAGUGAUAGGCCUAGUAUCCGUUCAUCGAUGUUUAUUGUCUAUCGCGGAUAGGUAAAGGAAUCUCGUAGCAUCUUACUCCGAGUCGCUCCGCUGCUAGAGGUCGAGUCAUUUAUAGCAUAGCGUAUUUAUAAUUAGUGUCAAUGUAAAUGUAUGGUUGGAUAUUAAGGACUUUGAUGUAAUUGCUUACAAUCAUAUGGAGUAAAAGUUAAGUUGAUUAAUUAUGUUUAUUGUUCAAUUCAUGUCACAAGAGUUAUGCAGUUUAAAGCAUUAACUGUAACACCUUGUACUUGAUAUGGUGACUAAUAAA
Molecule: non-coding RNA, 748 nt
Organism: Theobroma cacao (cacao)
Lineage: Eukaryota; Viridiplantae; Streptophyta; Magnoliopsida; Malvales; Malvaceae
Source: RefSeq, a predicted model, not a curated record